This is a long non-coding RNA of Nasonia vitripennis (jewel wasp), 1104 nucleotides long. RefSeq lists it as uncharacterized. The record is from RefSeq and is a predicted model, not a curated record. The transcript has 8 exons. Lineage: Eukaryota; Metazoa; Arthropoda; Insecta; Hymenoptera; Pteromalidae.
CCUUAUAAUCUAGGUAUGUUACCUGCACCUAUACCUACGUAAAAGGAACUUCACGAUCGUCACGUUGUCAUUACUGUUUCUGAUCACGUGAUGUGAUUGGUCUUCGUUCGCAUUCCCCUGACCCUAUACCUAAUACCUAUUGCGACUUAGCGAGACCUAAACGCGUAGACUGAAAGCGAACAAACUACUCCCUAGGGUUCAUUGAGCAGACCGACAGUACGCGCGGCAGUCUUCUUUGUGCCGUUACUUAGUCGAAAAACACGGAGACUCGAAGUUUGCUGCCCGGCUUGGACAACAAAGAAAAUAUUUCCUCGAAGCCGGCCGGCGGCGACGUUCAAGCAGCACUGGCUUAAAAUACGUAAGGCUCGAUAGGUCACACGGUGCGGUCCUCGUCCGGAAGCUUUUCGCCCCCUUUGAGGUCGGCCUGACCCAGAUCCAUCGCAGUUGGUUCUCUCACCUCGCCUCACCUGUGCAGCAGCGCGCCGUCAGCCUCUGUGCUCGCGGGCUGCAAUCGUUAACCAGGAUUCUGCGCACCAGACCACUCUCCCUCUGUGAUUCACUCACGGAUAUGAAAGAAACUCGCAGUGCAUUUUUCACCCGACGAAUUCGGCUAUUCCCAGCCCGCUAAAACGUCGCUCCGAAUUAGUCGUCCAACUUUUAUUCCUCUGCAUCGGAAAGCAGCUCUUGUCGUAUUCGGAGGGAGAAAAUAUUCGACAUUCAUCCGUUCGGAGAAUUGCUACUGCUGCAAAAUUCCGGAAACGUCCAGGUUAUCAUGGCUGAAGCUAAUAAUGGAUUCUUAAAGGAGAUAAAGAAGGAAAACCAAAAUGCCAAUCAGCAAAUUGAGGCGGAAAUUUCAAAGAACUAAUGAAAGAUCUGCAGACCCAAAUAAAAAAAAUCAGUCAGGAGUAAUUUCGGUGAAAACUACUCAACGUUAUUAACUGAAGAGUAUGGUAAAGGGUUAAAAAGACUACGAAGCGGUCGCCGGGUUCAACCCAGAAAGGGGAGUAUAUCGCAGAACAAUCGAGAAGAUAAUGCAAAUGAAUGCGGAGUCUGUCAGUGAAAAAAUAAAGCUCAGCGACUUUGCUCUAUCGAGUAAGCAUCAUA